RNAcentral lists this ribosomal RNA (305 nucleotides) under uncultured bacterium. RNAcentral describes it as "bacterial SSU rRNA". It matches the Rfam family "Bacterial small subunit ribosomal RNA", at positions 335 to 658 of the family's 1533-position model. The record is from RNAcentral.
AGCCUACGGGGCGCAGCAGUGGGGGAUAUUGGACAAUGGGGGAAACCCUGAUCCAGCGAUGCCGCGUGAGGGAAGAAGGUUUUCGGAUUGUAAACCUCUGUGGAGGGGGACGAUAAUGACGGUACCCCUUUAGGAAGCCACGGCUAACUACGUGCCAGCAGCCGCGGUAAUACGUAGGUGGCGAGCGUUGUCCGGAAUUACUGGGUGUAAAGGGAGUGUAGGCGGGAAAGCAAGUCAGAAGUGAAAACUAUGGGCUUAACCCAUAGACUGCUUUUGAAACUGUUGAACUUGAGUGCAGAAGAGGA